Molecule: ribosomal RNA, 223 nt
Filed under: uncultured prokaryote
Description: partial 16S ribosomal RNA
Rfam family: Bacterial small subunit ribosomal RNA
Source: RNAcentral
ACGUAGGCAGCGAGCGUUGUUCGGAGUUACUGGGCGUAAAGGGUGUGUAGGCGGUUCUUUAAGUUUGGUGUGAAAUCUCCCGGCUCAACCGGGAGGGUGCGCCGAAUACUGAGGGACUCGAGUGCGGGAGAGGAAAGUGGAAUUCCUGGUGUAGCGGUGAAAUGCGUAAUUAUCAGGAGGAACACCGGUGGUGUAGACGGCUUUCUGGACCGUAACUGACGCU